RNAcentral lists this ribosomal RNA (996 nucleotides) under uncultured bacterium. Its description in RNAcentral is "bacterial SSU rRNA". It matches the Rfam family "Bacterial small subunit ribosomal RNA", at positions 356 to 1376 of the family's 1533-position model. The record is from RNAcentral.
GGGGAAUAUUGGGCAAUGGGCGCAAGCCUGACCCAGCAACGCCGCGUGAAGGAAGAAGGCUUUCGGGUUGUAAACUUCUUUUAUCAGGGACGAUAAUGACGGUACCUGAUGAAUAAGCUCCGGCUAACUACGUGCCAGCAGCCGCGGUAAUACGUAGGGAGCAAGCGUUAUCCGGAUUUACUGGGUGUAAAGGGAGCGCAGGCGGACCGGCAAGUUGGAAGUGAAAACUAUGGGCUCAACCCAUAAAUUGCUUUCAAAACUGCUGGCCUUGAGUAGUGCAGAGGUAGGUGGAAUUCCCGGUGUAGCGGUGGAAUGCGUAGAUAUCGGGAGGAACACCAGUGGCGAAGGCGACCUACUGGGCACCAACUGACGCUGAGGCUCGAAAGCAUGGGUAGCAAACAGGAUUAGAUACCCUGGUAGUCCAUGCCGUAAACGAUGAUUACUAGGUGUUGGAGGAUUGACCCCUUCAGUGCCGCAGUUAACACAAUAAGUAAUCCACCUGGGGAGUACGACCGCAAGGUUGAAACUCAAAGGAAUUGACGGGGGCCCGCACAAGCAGUGGAGUAUGUGGUUUAAUUCGAAGCAACGCGAAGAACCUUACCAGGUCUUGACAUCCGAUGCAUAGCUUAGAGAUAAGUGAAGUCCUUCGGGACAUCGAGACAGGUGGUGCAUGGUUGUCGUCAGCUCGUGUCGUGAGAUGUUGGGUUAAGUCCCGCAACGAGCGCAACCCUUAUUGCCAGUUACUACGUAAGAGGACUCUGGCGAGACUGCCGUUGACAAAACGGAGGAAGGUGGGGAUGACGUCAAAUCAUCAUGCCCUUUAUGACCUGGGCUACACACGUACUACAAUGGCGUUUAACAAAGAGAAGCAAGACCGCGAGGUGGAGCAAAACUCAAAAACAACGUCUCAGUUCAGAUUGCAGGCUGCAACUCGCCUGCAUGAAGUCGGAAUUGCUAGUAAUCGCGGAUCAGCAUGCCGCGGUGAAUACGUUCCCG